RNAcentral lists this ribosomal RNA (253 nucleotides) under uncultured bacterium. RNAcentral's name for it is "partial 16S ribosomal RNA". It matches the Rfam family "Bacterial small subunit ribosomal RNA", at positions 524 to 776 of the family's 1533-position model. The record is from RNAcentral.
UACGUAGGGCGCAAGCGUUGUUCGGAAUUACUGGGCGUAAAGGGCUCGUAGGUGGCCAACUAAGUCGGACGUGAAAUCCCUCAGCUUAACUGGGGAACUGCGUCCGAUACUGGAUGGCUUGAGUUUGGGAGAGGGAUGCGGAAUUCCAGGUGUAGCGGUGAAAUGCGUAGAUAUCUGGAGGAACACCGGUGGCGAAGGCGGCAUCCUGGACCAACACUGACACUGAGGAGCGAAAGCCAGGGGAGCAAACGGG